Molecule: ribosomal RNA, 483 nt
Filed under: uncultured bacterium
Lineage: Bacteria
Description: partial 16S ribosomal RNA
Rfam family: Bacterial small subunit ribosomal RNA
Source: RNAcentral
AUUGAACGCUGGCGGCAGGCCUAACACAUGCAAGUCGAGCGGAUGAAGGGAGCUUGCUCCUGGAUUCAGCGGCGGACGGGUGAGUAAUGCCUAGGAAUCUGCCUGGUAGUGGGGGAUAACGUCCGGAAACGGGCGCUAAUACCGCAUACGUCCUGAGGGAGAAAGUGGGGGAUCUUCGGACCUCACGCUAUCAGAUGAGCCUAGGUCGGAUUAGCUAGUUGGUGGGGUAAAGGCCUACCAAGGCGACGAUCCGUAACUGGUCUGAGAGGAUGAUCAGUCACACUGGAACUGAGACACGGUCCAGACUCAGACGGGAGGCAGCAGUGGGGAAUAUUGGACAAUGGGCGAAAGCCUGAUCCAGCCAUGCCGCGUGUGUGAAGAAGGUCUUCGGAUUGUAAAGCACUUUAAGUUGGGAGGAAGGGCAGUAAGUUAAUACCUUGCUGUUUUGACGUUACCAACAGAAUAAGCACCGGCUAACUUCGU